ACGAACGCUGGCGGCAUGCCUAACACAUGCAAGUCGAACGAGACCUUCGGGUCUAGUGGCGCACGGGUGCGUAACGCGUGGGAACCUGCCCUUAGGUUCGGAAUAACUCCCCGAAAGGGGUGCUAAUACCGGAUAAUGUCUUCGGACCAAAGAUUUAUCGCCUUUGGAUGGGCCCGCGUUGGAUUAGCUAGUUGGUAGGGUAAAAGCCUACCAAGGCGACGAUCCAUAGCUGGUCUGAGAGGAUGAUCAGCCACACUGGGACUGAGACACGGCCCAGACUCCUACGGGAGGCAGCAGUGGGGAAUAUUGGACAAUGGGCGAAAGCCUGAUCCAGCAAUGCCGCGUGAGUGGUGAAGGCCUUAGGGUUGUAAAGCUCUUUUACCCGGGAUGAUAAUGACAGUACCGGGAGAAUAAGCUCCGGCUAACUCCGUG
This 432-nucleotide ribosomal RNA is filed under the name uncultured bacterium. Its description in RNAcentral is "partial 16S ribosomal RNA". It matches the Rfam family "Bacterial small subunit ribosomal RNA", at positions 29 to 507 of the family's 1533-position model. The record is from RNAcentral.